Molecule: transfer RNA, 72 nt
Filed under: bacterium
Lineage: Bacteria
Description: tRNA-Trp
Rfam family: tRNA
About the family: Transfer RNA (tRNA) molecules are approximately 80 nucleotides in length. Their secondary structure includes four short double-helical elements and three loops (D, anti-codon, and T loops). Further hydrogen bonds mediate the characteristic L-shaped molecular structure. tRNAs have two regions of fundamental functional importance: the anti-codon, which is responsible for specific mRNA codon recognition, and the 3' end, to which the tRNAs corresponding amino acid is attached (by aminoacyl-tRNA synthetases). tRNAs cope with the degeneracy of the genetic code in two manners: having more than one tRNA (with a specific anti-codon) for a particular amino acid; and 'wobble' base-pairing, i.e. permitting non-standard base-pairing at the 3rd anti-codon position.
Source: RNAcentral
GGGCCUAUAGUUCAAUGGCUAGAAUUUCUCUCUCCAAAAGAGAAGAUCAAGGUUCGAAUCCUUGUGGGCCCG